Molecule: ribosomal RNA, 515 nt
Filed under: Acheta domesticus (house cricket)
Lineage: Eukaryota; Metazoa; Arthropoda; Insecta; Orthoptera; Gryllidae
Description: partial 16S ribosomal RNA
Rfam family: Bacterial large subunit ribosomal RNA
Source: RNAcentral
CUUCUUGUUUUGAUUUGAAGUCGUGCCUGCCCACUGAGGAGUUGAAUGGCCGCGGUAUAUUGACCGUGCAAAGGUAGCAUAAUCAUUAGUCUUUUAAUUGGAGGCUGGAAUGAAUGGUUUGACGAAAUAAUAACUGUCUCGGAGUGAUGUAUUGAAUUUUACUUUUGAGUUAAAAGGCUCAAAUGAAAAUAGGGGACGAGAAGACCCUAUAGAUCUUAAUAUUAUUAUAUUGAAAUUUAUGUUUGGUGGUUUUUUAUAGAUGUUAAUAUAUUGUAUUUGGUUGGGGUGACAAGAGAAUAAUUUAACUUCUUUAUGUUUAACUAUGAUGAUUGGUUAAUUGAUCCUGUAUUAUGGAAUGAAGAUAAAGAUACCUUAGGGAUAACAGCGUAAUGUUAUUGGAGAGUUCAUAUUGAUAAUAAAGAUUGCGACCUCGAUGUUGGAUUAAGAAGAUUGUUAAGUGCAGGAGCUUAAUAUAUUGGUCUGUUCGACCAUUGAAUUCUUACGUGAUCUGAGUU